GACGAACGCUGGCGGCGUGCCUAAUACAUGCAAGUAGAACGCUGAAGGAGGAGCUUGCUUCUCCGGAUGAGUUGCGAACGGGUGAGUAACGCGUAGGUAACCUGCCUGGUAGCGGGGGAUAACUAUUGGAAACGAUAGCUAAUACCGCAUAACAGUAGAUGUUGCAUGACAUUUGCUUAAAAGGUGCAAUUGCAUCACUACCAGAUGGACCUGCGUUGUAUUAGCUAGUUGGUGAGGUAACGGCUCACCAAGGCGACGAUACAUAGCCGACCUGAGAGGGGGAUCGGCCACACUGGGACUGGGACACGGCCCAGACUCCUACGGGAGGCAGCAGUAGGGAAUCUUCGGCAAUGGACGGAAGUCUGACCGGGCAACGCCGCGUGAGUGAAGAAGGUUUUCGGAUCGUAAAGCUCUGUUGUAAGAGAAGGACGAGUGUGAGAGUGGAAAGUUCACACUGUGACGGUAUCUUACCAGAAAGGGACGGCUAACUACGUG
Molecule: ribosomal RNA, 495 nt
Filed under: uncultured bacterium
Lineage: Bacteria
Description: partial 16S ribosomal RNA
Rfam family: Bacterial small subunit ribosomal RNA
Source: RNAcentral